UACGUAGGGUGCAAGCGUUAAUCGGAAUUACUGGGCGUAAAGCGUGCGCAGGCGGCUAUGCAAGACAGAUGUGAAAUCCCCGGGCUCAACCUGGGAACUGCAUUUGUGACUGCAUGGGCUAGAGUACGGUAGAGGGGGGAUGGAAUUCCGCGUGUAGCAGUGAAAUGCGUAGAUAUGCGGAGGAACACCGAUGGCGAAGGCAAUCCCCUGGACCUGUACUGACGCUCAUGCACGAAAGACGUGGGGAGCAAACGAGGAUUAGAUACCUUGUA
RNAcentral lists this ribosomal RNA (272 nucleotides) under uncultured bacterium. RNAcentral's name for it is "partial 16S ribosomal RNA". It matches the Rfam family "Bacterial small subunit ribosomal RNA", at positions 524 to 791 of the family's 1533-position model. The record is from RNAcentral.